RNAcentral lists this transfer RNA (43 nucleotides) under Orthotrichum stramineum. RNAcentral describes it as "partial tRNA-His". RNAcentral also lists the same sequence under 9 other names. Lineage: Eukaryota; Viridiplantae; Streptophyta; Bryopsida; Orthotrichales; Orthotrichaceae. The record is from RNAcentral.
GCGGACGUGGCCAAGUGGAUUAAGGCAGUGGAUUUGUGAAUCC